UCGCGCGGGCUAUAAGGAAUACCAACUGGAGUGUUGGCACGUAGCGGGGAGUCGUGGACCGACCGCGGACCAGCGCGGUACCGGCGUUAGACGAGAUGAGGCCCUUGGAUAAGGGACGGACAGCGGGAUGCUGUUCCGUUGUGGGGGUCGGCGGACAGACCGACAGUGAACAAAUAUGGCGUAUCCAACGCCAGGAACAAGCUGGGGCGAACGGUCGUAGGCUGCACAGGACUUGGAAGGAACAGGAGGUGCACCUGCGGAUCCGGCUCGAAGAACAAUGUUGGCGUGGGGCGUUGGGGGUGAAAGUCCAAG
Long non-coding RNA from Scaptodrosophila lebanonensis, 312 nucleotides. RefSeq lists it as uncharacterized. Lineage: Eukaryota; Metazoa; Arthropoda; Insecta; Diptera; Drosophilidae. The record is from RefSeq and is a predicted model, not a curated record. The transcript is spliced from 3 exons.